CUUCCUGAUGGUCACGAUCCACCUUCAUCAACCGCCACAAUCUUCAUCACAAUUGCAGGUUGGAUCCGACUUAUGGUAUCAUCACAGGUUGACUGUUCAAAGGAUUUCGGCAUCAUGGAAGCAAUUGCACCGACAGAGUCGGUAAUUCUUGAACAUCAGAUCUAUUCGUCAUUUGCAUCCUGUUGCCUAUCUCGUAUCAUGUCGUUGAUCUCGUUCUUAUUUACAGUUCUCUAACCGUAGCUUAUACUCGUGUUUAGGGUGAAGGGCGUUAUCAAGUUGUGAUUAUAUCUGCUAAGACUGCGGGGUAUGGGGCGGGGGUUUGGGCGUGGGUGGGCUGAAAACGCCCAAGCCACCACCCCGGGUGGGCAUGGGUUUGGGCGUGGCCCCUUUUUCGUGGGUUUGAAGCCGGGCGUGGGGCGGGCUAGCAAGGUGACAUGGCAGGCUCUCAAUGGCUAUGUGUCAACUUAUGCCCCAAACCCCAGCUCCUAACUCAAGCCCCACCAUACCCCACAGUCUAAGAUCACUUCAUCCUCCUCUGAGAUAGUUGGCAAAAAGUUAGAACCUAGAGAAAAGGCGUUUAACUUUUGGUGUUGUUUCUGAGCGUUUGGAUCGUGAACCUACCACUGCAGAUGUGUUACUUGCUGCUGCUGAUAUCGUAUUUUCUGGAUCAGAAGAGGCUUCCGCACCUGUACCUGGAAGCAGCGUUACACCAAUCACCCUGCGGAAAUCUGCAAGAUCUAGAAAUUAAGAAAAGGACGCAAUGCUAGAAAUCUACUGUUUGUUUUGGUGGUGUAGUGUAGAUGGUGGGAAAUCUAAAUAAAUUAGUUUUUUU
Molecule: long non-coding RNA, 832 nt
Organism: Helianthus annuus (common sunflower)
Lineage: Eukaryota; Viridiplantae; Streptophyta; Magnoliopsida; Asterales; Asteraceae
Exons: 4
Source: RefSeq, a predicted model, not a curated record